CUGAAACAUUUGCAGGUUUUACUGAAAAGGGAGAAAGACUGGGUUGUGGACAUUAUUCACUACUAAGAAGCAUCAAAUCUAGAGUUGAACAUGUUAAUCGAGAUAAUACAACACAUAGACUUUGUCAAAUAAAGAGAACCAGGAAUGAGGACGACUGCAGUCCCAACAGUAAUGCAACCUCACCUAAAAAAAGUUAGAUGCUUUGUUGAUAGCUAUGGUUGUAUAAAUUGGCAGCCACUUGAACUUCCUGAGGGGGAAACGCUGCUGGCUUCUUUAGAGGAAACGAAAGACAUCCUGUUAACAAUUUUUAAUUCACAAGGACCUGGAGCUGUGGAGAGACCUGAUGUGGAUGACUCAGACACUGAGAUUCAUCCUAUAGCUGUCAGCGAUCAUGGUCCUGUAUCUUUAACACUAAUGCACAAGAAUAAUACUACGCCAAGAAAAAACUGGAUAUUUAAUAUAUCACUACUUAAAGAUGAAGACUUUAUUAAAUAUUUUAAAAAAGAGUGGACUUCAUAUUUGGACUAUAAUGACACUCCCGAAACAUCAGCUUCUGUUCUAUGGGAAGCAGGGAAAGCUGUGAUGAGAGGUAAAAUAAUUUCUUUCUCAUCACAUAAAAAGAAAAAAGAAAACAAAAAUAUUCAGGAAUUAGAAAAAAACAUCAAAUCACUAGAAGAAGCCUACGUGUCCCACCGAGAUCAGGAAACAUUGAACAAAAUACGCAAAACAAAACUAGAAUUAAAUGAGAUAAUUUGAUAAAAAAACAAAAUUCUUAGUACAAAGACUACGCCUACAAAAUUAUGAACAUGGUAAUAAAUCCGGUCAAUUUCUAGCAAACCAGCUAAAAAUAAAUAAAGAAAAAACAACUAUAUGUGCUGUUCAAGAUUCAUCUGGGAACACAAUAUAUGAUCCGAUACAAAUAAACAACAUUUUCAGGGAUUUCUAUAAAACGUUGUAUUCACCACAAAUAAACCCAUCUAAAAAAGAAAUUGAUCAGUUUUUGGACAACAUAACUCUUCCAAAAUUAUUGGACACUCAAGCAAUGGCACUGGAUUCACCAUUGACACCAGGUGAACUCCAGGAAGCUCUGAUAAGUAUGCCCAAUAAUAAGGCUCCAGGUCCAGACGGCUUUCCUGCAGAAUUCUACAAAGAAUUCUGGUCGAUUCUAGCACCAGUUUUCUACAGAACGUUGUUGGAAAUCAAAGAAAAGGGCAGACUUCCAUCAAAUAUGAAUUCUGCAAACAUUAAUCUCCUGCUAAAACCAGGCAAAGACCCUGUAUAUCCC
Molecule: long non-coding RNA, 1285 nt
Organism: Astatotilapia calliptera (eastern happy)
Lineage: Eukaryota; Metazoa; Chordata; Actinopteri; Cichliformes; Cichlidae
Source: Ensembl